This 229-nucleotide ribosomal RNA is filed under the name uncultured bacterium. RNAcentral describes it as "partial 16S ribosomal RNA". It matches the Rfam family "Bacterial small subunit ribosomal RNA", at positions 568 to 796 of the family's 1533-position model. The record is from RNAcentral.
UCCGCAGGCGGGCAAUUAAGUCAGGGGUGAAAUGGUGCGGCUCAACCGUAGCACUGCCCUUGAUACUGGUUGUCUUGAGUCAUAGUGAAGUGGCCGGAAUAUGUAGUGUAGCGGUGAAAUGCAUAGAUAUUACAUAGAACACCGAUUGCGAAGGCAGGUCACUAACUAUCGACUGACGCUGAUGGACGAAAGCGUGGGGAGCGAACAGGAUUAGAUACCCUGGUAGUCC